Long non-coding RNA from Gasterosteus aculeatus aculeatus (three-spined stickleback), 278 nucleotides. NCBI's taxonomy places the organism in Eukaryota, Metazoa, Chordata, Actinopteri, Perciformes, Gasterosteidae. The record is from Ensembl.
GUUCAAUUUACAAAUUUACAAUUAACCCAGUAAAGGUCCUCCAGGCCAUACCCACCCAAACUACAGGGUAUUAGACCCCUGUCUUGCCGGCGGACAUCCAGGCGACGUCGAUGACGGCUUCAGAAGGGACACAUGGAACACUGGUGGAUCCUCAGGGAUUGCAAGAGCAAUCACAAUUUAACUGCCCUGAUUGUUGGAGGGGAGCCUCAGCCAGUGAAACAGUGCCAUGGAGGGGGAGGGAGAAAAGGAUGAUGGAGGGACCACACAUGUCUUCAUGG